CGGGCGGUGGGCUAGUGGUUAUGCCGUCAGUUUUGGGAACUGAUAAUCGGCGGUUCAAAUCCGCCCCGCCCGA
Molecule: transfer RNA, 73 nt
Filed under: Treponema sp.
Lineage: Bacteria; Pseudomonadati; Spirochaetota; Spirochaetia; Treponematales; Treponemataceae
Description: tRNA-Pro
Rfam family: tRNA
About the family: Transfer RNA (tRNA) molecules are approximately 80 nucleotides in length.
Source: RNAcentral